CCUACGGGAGGCAGCAGUGAGGAAUAUUGGUCAAUGGACGAGAGUCUGAACCAGCCAAGUAGCGUGAAGGAUGACUGCCCUAUGGGUUGUAAACUUCUUUUAUAUGGGAAUAAAAUGUUCCACGUGUGGGAUUUUGUAUGUACCAUAUGAAUAAGGAUCGGCUAACUCCGUGCCAGCAGCCGCGGUAAUACGGAGGAUCCGAGCGUUAUCCGGAUUUAUUGGGUUUAAAGGGAGCGUAGGUGGAUUGUUAAGUCAGUUGUGAAAGUUUGCGGCUCAACCGUAGAAUUGCAGUUGAAACUGGCAGUCUUGAGUACAGUAGAGGUGGGCGGAAUUCGUGGUGUAGCGGUGAAAUGCUUAGAUAUCACGAAGAACUCCGAUUGCGAAGGCAGUUCACUGGACUGCAACUGACACUGAGGCUCGAAAGUGUGGGUAUCAAACAGGAUUAGAUACCCCUGUAGUC
RNAcentral lists this ribosomal RNA (460 nucleotides) under uncultured bacterium. Its description in RNAcentral is "partial 16S ribosomal RNA". It matches the Rfam family "Bacterial small subunit ribosomal RNA", at positions 338 to 795 of the family's 1533-position model. The record is from RNAcentral.